This 253-nucleotide ribosomal RNA is filed under the name uncultured bacterium. RNAcentral describes it as "partial 16S ribosomal RNA". It matches the Rfam family "Bacterial small subunit ribosomal RNA", at positions 524 to 776 of the family's 1533-position model. The record is from RNAcentral.
UACAGAGGUCCCAAGCGUUGUUCGGAUUCACUGGGCGUAAAGGGUGCGUAGGUGGUGAGGUAAGUCGGAUGUGAAAGCUCGGAGCUCAACUCCGAAAUGGCAUUGGAAACCACCUUGCUCGAGGGUUGGAGGGGGGACUGGAAUACUUGGUGUAGCAGUGAAAUGCGUAGAUAUCAAGUGGAACACCAGUGGCGAAGGCGAGUCCCUGGACAACUCCUGACACUGAGGCACGAAAGCUAGGGGAGCAAACAGG